AGAAGCUGAGACCACGUUCCCUCAGCAGCUGGAAACCAGGAACCCACUUGGACAUGUCCUGCUUCUCAACACUGAGCACUCCAGGACACUGAUGUCAUGGCUUGAGAGGCAGAAGAGGUCCCUGGCCGUGAGACCAGGAGGCUCAGCCCCUCCAAACCUCCCAGAGGAACCACAGGCUCCAACAGAUGGGAUGGAGUGGAAGGGAAAAGGUGGCAGCUGUGACAUUCCAGUAAGCCCAGAAUGGGUCAUUUUCCCAUAACUGGAAUGGGCUGUUUUCCCAUAACUGGAAUUAAACCUCAUUUUCAAUCACUGAGAUUUGCAGCUCCAAACUCUGACAGACUUUUGAUUCCAGCAAAACGCAAACUAAAUAAAAUAUAAUCCACAUCCAUUGUAUGCACAAA
Molecule: long non-coding RNA, 401 nt
Organism: Pseudopipra pipra
Lineage: Eukaryota; Metazoa; Chordata; Aves; Passeriformes; Pipridae
Exons: 2
Source: RefSeq, a predicted model, not a curated record